Molecule: ribosomal RNA, 557 nt
Filed under: uncultured bacterium
Lineage: Bacteria
Description: bacterial SSU rRNA
Rfam family: Bacterial small subunit ribosomal RNA
Source: RNAcentral
ACGGGUGCGUAACGCGUGGGAAUCUGCCCUUGGGUUCGGAAUAACAGUUAGAAAUGACUGCUAAUACCGGAUGAUGUCUUCGGACCAAAGAUUUAUCGCCCAAGGAUGAGCCCGCGUAAGAUUAGCUAGUUGGUGGGGUAAUGGCCCACCAAGGCGACGAUCUUUAGCUGGUCUGAGAGGAUGAUCAGCCACACUGGGACUGAGACACGGCCCAGACUCCUACGGGAGGCAGCAGUGGGGAAUAUUGGACAAUGGGCGCAAGCCUGAUCCAGCAAUGCCGCGUGAGUGAUGAAGGCCUUAGGGUUGUAAAGCUCUUUUACCAGGGAUGAUAAUGACAGUACCUGGAGAAUAAGCUCCGGCUAACUCCGUGCCAGCAGCCGCGGUAAUACGGAGGGAGCUAGCGUUGUUCGGAAUUACUGGGCGUAAAGCGUACGUAGGCGGUUAUUCAAGUCAGAGGUGAAAGCCCGGGGCUCAACCCCGGAACGGCCUUUGAAACUAGGUAGCUAGAGUCUUGGAGAGGUUAGUGGAAUUCCGAGUGUAGAGGUGAAAUUCGUAGA